This 440-nucleotide ribosomal RNA is filed under the name uncultured bacterium. RNAcentral describes it as "bacterial SSU rRNA". It matches the Rfam family "Bacterial small subunit ribosomal RNA", at positions 338 to 795 of the family's 1533-position model. The record is from RNAcentral.
CCUACGGGUGGCAGCAGUGAGGAAUCUUCCACAAUGGGCGAAAGCCUGAUGGAGCAAUACCGCGUGCAGGAAGACGGCUUUCGGGUUGUAAACUGCUUUUGUAUGGGAAGAUUAUGACGGUACCAUGCGAAUAAGGACCGGCUAACUACGUGCCAGCAGCCGCGGUAAUACGUAGGGUCCAAGCGUUAUCCGGAAUUACUGGGCGUAAAGCGUGUGUAGGUGGAUGUUUAAGUGAGAUGCGAAAUCUUUCGGCUCAACCGGAAGACUGUGUCUCAUACUGGAUAUCUUGAGGUUGGUAGAGGCAAGUGGAAUUACCGGUGUAGCAGUGAAAUGCGUAGAGAUCGGUAGGAACACCAAUGGCGAAGGCAGCUUGCUGGGCCACACCUGACACUGAGACACGAAAGCGUGGGGAGCGAACAGGAUUAGAUACCCCGGUAGUC